CGGCCAACGCGACCACCGAAUUCGACCCGCCUCCUAACGUGACGUUCGUGACAAAACACCGCGAACCCAAUCCGGGCAUUCUCCAAGCUUUGUUCACUGUUACGAGGUUUGUGGGAAGAUUCCUCAUUCCUGUCCCCGGCAUCUCAGAAGGAGAUAGAAACGCUGACGGUCACCAAUUACGCCAACUUUUCUGACAGCCUGAUGAAUAAACUACUAGAUUGCAAGACCGACUUACCAGGGUUCAUUCUCAGUGCCUUGGAGGAUACCCCCGGUCUG
Molecule: long non-coding RNA, 276 nt
Organism: Ixodes scapularis (black-legged tick)
Lineage: Eukaryota; Metazoa; Arthropoda; Arachnida; Ixodida; Ixodidae
Exons: 3
Source: RefSeq, a predicted model, not a curated record